RNAcentral lists this ribosomal RNA (253 nucleotides) under uncultured bacterium. RNAcentral describes it as "partial 16S ribosomal RNA". It matches the Rfam family "Bacterial small subunit ribosomal RNA", at positions 524 to 776 of the family's 1533-position model. The record is from RNAcentral.
UACGUAGGGUGCAAGCGUUGUCCGGAAUUAUUGGGCGUAAAGAGCUCGUAGGCGGUUUGUCGCGUCGUCCGUGAAAACCUGCGGCUCAACUGCAGGCUGGCGGUCGAUACGGGCAGGCUGGAGUUCGGUAGGGGAGACUGGAAUUCCUGGUGUAGCGGUGAAAUGCGCAGAUAUCAGGAGGAACACCGGUGGCGAAGGCGGGUCUCUGGGCCGAUACUGACGCUGAGGAGCGAAAGCGUGGGGAGCGAACAGG